This 385-nucleotide ribosomal RNA is filed under the name uncultured bacterium. RNAcentral describes it as "bacterial SSU rRNA". It matches the Rfam family "Bacterial small subunit ribosomal RNA", at positions 29 to 417 of the family's 1533-position model. The record is from RNAcentral.
AUUGAACGCUGGCGGCAUGCCUUACACAUGCAAGUCGAACGGCAGCACGGGAGCAAUCCUGGUGGCGAGUGGCGAACGGGUGAGUAAUACAUCGGAACGUGCCCAAUAGUGGGGAUAGCCCGGCGAAAGCCGGAUUAAUACCGCAUACGACCUACGGGUGAAAGCGGGGAUCGCAAGACCUCGCGCUACUGGAGCGGCCGAUGUCGGAUUAGCUAGUUGGUGGGGUAAAGGCCUACCAAGGCUACGAUCCGUAGCUGGUCUGAGAGGACGACCAGCCACACUGGGACUGAGACACGGCCCAGACUCCUACGGGAGGCAGCAGUGGGGAAUUUUGGACAAUGGGCGCAAGCCUGAUCCAGCCAUGCCGCGUGCGGGAAGAAGGCCU